GAUGAACGCUGACAGAAUGCUUAACACAUGCAAGUCAACUUGAACUUCGGUUUGGGUGGCGGACGGGUGAGUAACGCGUAAAGAACUUGCCUCACAGAUAGGGACAACAUUUGGAAACGAAUGCUAAUACCUGAUAUUAUGAUUAUAUGGCAUCGUAUAAUUAUGAAAGCUAUAUGCGCUGUGAGAGAGCUUUGCGUCCCAUUAGCUAGUUGGAGAGGUAACGGCUCACCAAGGCGAUGAUGGGUAGCCGGCCUGAGAGGGUGAUCGGCCAAAAGGGGACGGAGACACGGCCCUUACUCCUUCGGGAGGGAGGAGGGGGGAAUUAUUGGCGAAGGACCAAGGGUCUGAUGCAGCAAUUCUGGUUGGAAGGUGAAGUUUUUCGGAAUGUAAAGUGGUUUCAGUUGGGGAGAAAAAAAUGACGGUACCAAGAGAAGAAGGUACGGCUAAAUACGUG
This 454-nucleotide ribosomal RNA is filed under the name uncultured bacterium. RNAcentral describes it as "partial 16S ribosomal RNA". It matches the Rfam family "Bacterial small subunit ribosomal RNA", at positions 28 to 507 of the family's 1533-position model. The record is from RNAcentral.